UGUCGUCCUUUCUUGGUGCACUA
This 23-nucleotide non-coding RNA is filed under the name Arabidopsis thaliana (thale cress). The record is from RNAcentral. Lineage: Eukaryota; Viridiplantae; Streptophyta; Magnoliopsida; Brassicales; Brassicaceae.